AGUGGGAGAGGGGGGAUCCUUGGCCCAACUGCUCUAUAGACUCCUGCUAGCAGAUCCUUAAAGGACCCAGAGACUAACUGCUCACGGGGACCAUCCCUUCUGCCCCAGUGACAGCUUCCUGCGCUUCCCUGGACAUGGAACAGGCCUCUCCCAUCGUCUCCUCCGGCCUUCCAGAAAUCUGACUGGGAUGCUGUUGCUGAACACAAAUGUAUGAGGAACAAGCCAUAAAAGAGUGACCCAGACUCUCUCCCCUGCACAGAUAAAAGUUAUUCAGCGAAUAAUAAACCUGAAGAAACUACAUAAAUGGAGGUUCUUCCAUAAUCUUGGGGUUGACAAUCAAGCUGAUACACCAGCUGGAGUCCAGAACGUUAAGAAUGGAAAAAUAUAAUUUGUCAGUCUGUCUCAUUUGUUUUUGGGUUUGCUUUUUAAGUGCAACAAACAGUUGCAGCUAAUCCAACAAGAAAUCCAGAGAUGAGGCAGAUUUCAGAGCUGUGGAUCUGAAUUUCAUUAACUAUUUGAAAAUUUUAAAAGUAUGCUUUCUGCUUAUUAAAUUUAACAAUUCAUAUUACUGUGUUUUGAAUUAAAAUUGCAUUAGUAAGAACUUGAAUGGGUAUCUGACUACAAAAAAAAGUCAAGCCUAACAAAAUAAUGUUCUAAAAUAUGGUAUUAAGAUUUUUGUGGCCAUGGUCACAUUCUAGAAGACCCCCAAUUUCUAUUCUAUGAAAGGAAAGGAUCCCAUGCAACCAUCUUCCCAAGUCAUGGCCUUAGUAAAAUGGAUUUAAGAGAGACCAAGACUCGAUUCUCUCAGACACAAAUAUUCACUCUGCCUCGGUUUAUACAGAAACAUGAGGCCCUUAAAUUCUUGGACCUUCAAAGAACAAAGAAAGUUGAAAACAACAAAGUUUGUGCAAGCAAAAAAGCUACAGUCCUGAGUCUAUCAGAGAAAAUGGGGAAGCAACUGUAAGUUGCUAUGUAUAGCGUAGCAGAAUUUAAUUUAGAAAUAAACACUCAUUAAUGGCCUAUGGAAUGAAGAAUAUCUGACAAAAAUACCUAUAUUUCUCAAAACACUUUUAGAAGAGAUUAUAUGAGACCAAUGGAAGAAUGACUGGAGAGGGAAUUGAACUUAAUGAUUCAGAAAUAAGAGUAAGGAUGAGCCAGUUUUCAAUACUAAAAGGAUAAAACAAAGGUCCCAUAGACCAUACACUCACUUAUACUUAACUCUGAUUCUAAUCUUGAUGACUACCUUCUAGUAAAAU
This is a non-coding RNA of Pelodiscus sinensis (Chinese soft-shelled turtle), 1256 nucleotides long. Lineage: Eukaryota; Metazoa; Chordata; Testudines; Trionychidae. The record is from RefSeq and is a predicted model, not a curated record.